GACGAACGCUGGCGGCGUGCUUAACACAUGCAAGUCGAACGGAAAGGCCCUGCUUUUGUGGGGUGCUCGAGUGGCGAACGGGUGAGUAACACGUGAGUAACCUGCCCUUGACUUUGGGAUAACUUCAGGAAACUGGGGCUAAUACCGGAUAGGAGCUCCUGCUGCAUGGUGGGGGUUGGAAAGUUUCGGCGGUUGGGGAUGGACUCGCGGCUUAUCAGCCUGUUGGUGGGGUAGUGGCUUACCAAGGCCUUGACGGGUAGCCGGCCUGAGAGGGUGACCGGCCACAUUGGGACUGAGAUACGGCCCAGACUCCUACGGGAGGCAGCAGUGGGGAAUAUUGCACAAUGGGCGGAAGCCUGAUGCAGCAACGCCGCGUGCGGGAUGACGGCCUUCGGGUUGUAAACCGCUUUCGCCUGUGACGAAGCGUGAGUGACGGUAAUGGGUAAAGAAGCACCGGCUAACUACGUG
This 468-nucleotide ribosomal RNA is filed under the name uncultured bacterium. Its description in RNAcentral is "partial 16S ribosomal RNA". It matches the Rfam family "Bacterial small subunit ribosomal RNA", at positions 28 to 507 of the family's 1533-position model. The record is from RNAcentral.